RNAcentral lists this ribosomal RNA (253 nucleotides) under uncultured bacterium. RNAcentral describes it as "partial 16S ribosomal RNA". It matches the Rfam family "Bacterial small subunit ribosomal RNA", at positions 524 to 776 of the family's 1533-position model. The record is from RNAcentral.
UACGUAGGGGGCAAGCGUUGUCCGGAAUUAUUGGGCGUAAAGCGCGCGCAGGCGGUUUAUUAAGUCUGGUGUGAAAGCCCACGGCUCAACCGUGGAGGGCCAUUGGAAACUGGUAGACUUGAGUGCAGGAGAGGAGAGCGGAAUUCCUGGUGUAGCGGUGAAAUGCGUAGAUAUCAGGAGGAACACCCGUGGCGAAGGCGGCUCUCUGGCCUGUAACUGACGCUGAGGAGCGAAAGCGUGGGGAGCGAACAGG